AAUAAUUCGUCCCGAGGUCUUUGCUCGUUGUGUGCUAUAACAAUUACCGAAAAAAUCGAAACUUUGACGUGAGACACGUCCGGCUGUAAAGUGUAUAGAAGAAGUAAAUGUGUGAGCGAAUUCAUGGACAAUUAUUCCAUUGAUGAAUUUAUUGACGGUACCAAAAUUUUACCUAUUCAUUGCGUGGGAAUUUGAAUUUUGUCGUUACUUUACGGGGGCUGCUCUCUAGCGCUCUGAAGUGGCUCGCAAUGGUUUUCAAAUGAUUUCGAACGCUCGUCGAGAAUCACGUCGUUAGCGCCACCUGUUAGACGCCGGAGUUUCAAACUGAUUAGGCCAAAAGCCAGAAUCAGAACCAAGGAUCCCCUUGUCAAUAUUGACAAGUACCUGAUUACGUUCCAAGAGACGUUUCAAAGUGACAGAAAUUGAUAGUUCUCUGCGUCGUGAAUAAAAUUCUGCAGUCGCAUUCGAAUUUCAACGUAAAUGCAAGGUUACUACGGUUCUGUAGCCUGUGUACGUAGACAUAUGUGCAUGUAUUUAUUUUUGUAGCGAGCCACCUGUCACUUUCAACCGACCGCAAUGCGGUGCAUUUUAAUAUUUGACCACUUGAACGAUGUGUUAUUUACAAAGUGCAACAAAAAAUUUGCCGCGCAUAUACAGAAACUGGCUAGGAUACAGGGACUCAUUCCUGAGGAUAAGGACGAAAACGAUGUCAGUAACAAGCUGAGUCCGAAUACAAUAAUCCAACUGUUUGCGCCAAUUGUAACUUCCCAGCGAGUGAUGGCGUGUCAAUUUGGCAAUUCAUAUACAUCUGUACAGUGUCAGGAUGGCACUAACAUGGUAUUUGAUGAUUUCAUGGGCUAUAUGUUUGUCUACAUAGCCAGUAGCGACGUCACUUUAAUGAAGAGGACUCUGGGUGUCUGCGUAUCCAUUGUUCGACACUUAUGUGGACCUGACGUAGCUCUAUUAAAAUGGAACAAGCAAAGAGUAUCUCUGGUUUCAUCCUUACUGGACGCCUGGAUAACUCUGCGGGGAUGUGAGCAGAGCAUACUAGUCGAGGCUAUAGAACAAUUAUCCGUGAAUCCAGAUUUAGCGUCCGCUACUCUGAGAGCACUGCACGAUGCAACUGACAAACUUAGAACGCAAUCGGAAUUCAGUAAUGUCCAUGCCUUGAUUUUGGUGGAAAAUAAAUUUUUAUCCUUAUACUCGAGUAAAAAUUCACUCGACUUGAGUGCCUCUGAUAUUUUGCUAAUGAUGCUGCUAUGCUGGGUUGCUGGAGAUAAAGGAAAAUUAAUGGAAGAUCAAGACAACUUUGACGAUGACUUUUUAAGCCCGGAAAAUAGCUUGACAGAAGAGUCAAAAGGCCUUAAUAUUGCUGGAAAAUUAGCUAAUCCAACGUGCAAAGACAUCACGAAUUUAUUUGGUGACUCGAGAGAUUCGUCUAUCAGCGAGGGCUUGUACAAGUUGGCCGAAGAUGAUUUAUACAGCCAACUGGUACUGCUUGGUUCUGGUCAUAACUAUACAGCAAAUGCGAUUCAUAUCACAGAAUUAGCGGAUGGUAUUAAUUUAGUUAUAAUCAUAGAGGCAAGCAACUUGUCAACUUCGUCUGGUCUCUACGAUAGUUUUUACUAUUUGAAUACAAUAAACAAUCUGCAGCUGCAGAAAGACAUAGACGAGCUGAAGCCAGCGUUCGAUAAUUUAGACGCAGCGAUAAAGAAAUCCAUAGACGGGAUUAAGAAGAACAGAAAUCAUAUAAACAACGACAUUGAUAUGUGUCAGAGGAGAUUACAAGUGAAAUGGGAAUUUAUACGCAAGAAAUAUGUAGAACUACUGAAAUCCAGAGAUCCCGAAUGCGUUCUGAGAAUAGAAUCCAGCACUUCUGGAUUUACGGAUACUAUGAAAGAGCUACUGCAGCUCACCUGCUUCGACAAGAACUUUCUGAAGCAAGGUGUAGACGUCAUUACAGCUGUCAGUAAAUUGGUCAGACAGAAGAUCAACGACUUCAGCAAUUUCUUGAAAGUCAAAGCUCUUAAGAACUUCACUCUCGGCUCGAGAACUUCCCUAACCAUCAACAAAUAUCUGGAAGAGUUCCCAGGGCUGGUUCAUUUUAUUUAUGUAGACAGAACGACACACAGGCUCACUGCUCCAACUUUGGAUUUCACUAGUCCUGAAACAUUAGCGCUUACCAAUAAGAAGGUAAUAUGAAACGGUCACUCAACGAUUUGUUGCUCUCCUAUUGAAGUAACAUAUGCAACAUAUGGACGAUGGUUGAUCAUAGCAGAGCUCAUUUACAAGAAGGACACUUGUCUGUCAUGUGGAAGGAUACAACGUUUAAUUACGCGUAUUUUUUAUGGUUUGAGGACAA
Molecule: unclassified non-coding RNA, 2362 nt
Filed under: Neodiprion lecontei (redheaded pine sawfly)
Lineage: Eukaryota; Metazoa; Arthropoda; Insecta; Hymenoptera; Diprionidae
Description: hermansky-Pudlak syndrome 1 protein homolog, transcript variant X1
Source: RNAcentral